UAGUCUAGUUAUGUCUUCUCAAGGAGAUAUA
RNAcentral lists this non-coding RNA (31 nucleotides) under Mus musculus (house mouse). Lineage: Eukaryota; Metazoa; Chordata; Mammalia; Rodentia; Muridae. The record is from RNAcentral.